Molecule: long non-coding RNA, 2686 nt
Organism: Brassica rapa (field mustard)
Lineage: Eukaryota; Viridiplantae; Streptophyta; Magnoliopsida; Brassicales; Brassicaceae
Source: RefSeq, a predicted model, not a curated record
UCACGGCUCCGAGUCGGAUAGAAAAACGCUUCUUAAAAUUCAAACAUCAUAACAAAAAACUCUUAAAUUAUUUUUUCUUAUAAAAUUUUAAAAAUUCAUGCAAAUUUUACCAAAAUUGUCAACAAAAAAAAGAUACUCGUACUUUGAAAACGGGUCAAAAAAGUAGUACCUUUGAAAUUGAAUAUAGAUAAAAAUAGUAUAUAUUGAUGGUUAUAACUAUGAUACAAAUAUGUAACAAUAGAAACUCAUUUUUAAUUUAAAAUAAGCAACUCAUAUCGUUACUACAUUUCAAUAUUGAAAACACAUUGUUCUUCAAUAUAGAAUAUAUAUAUAUACUAUUAAAUCACACAUAUAAUCUUUAAAUCUACUUCGAAUAAAUACCACACUUUGAUAUAUUUUUGAAAAACAUAAAUUUGUAAGAUUUGAAACAAAAGAUAAAAGUAGUUUUCCAAUCAAUAUUGGAUCAAUAGGUGAAAAAACAAAUCCGCACUUAAAAGUGCGGGUCAAAAUCUAGUUUUUUUUUUAAUAUUCUAGUUUGAUUUUAAUUUGGUAUAUUUAUUUUCUUAUUGUUCUACGUUUUUUAUUUAUAAUUUUGUAUUUUCUAUAUUUUGGUUUAUUAUUUGAGUUUAUGAUUAUUCGUCAAAGCACAAAAAAUCGUUUGUAAUUUAUGAACUAGCAAAAUUAAAAAAUUAAAAAAAUAUAUUGUAUGUGACCAGUUUAAAAUUCAUUGUUUAAUAAUAUGACAUUGCAUUAAAAAUUUAUCAAUUGAAGUGAAGAUUUAUCAUUUUAAUCAUAUUUUCAAUCUAAACACUAAAAUAUAUUUUUAAACACAUAAACAUGAAUUCAAUGAAAACUGCUUAAUAUUUUAUAAAAUUCAUUGUAAACAGCUUAUUUGAUUUUUUUUGUGAAGGUAUUAUUAAAUAGAAAUCAUGUUUUUGGCGGAGUAACAAACAUUAUAGGUAUUAAGACCAACUAGAUGAUUCUAUUACAUAUUAUAACUGUUUCCUCGAAAAAAAUUGUAAUCAAUGAGUUAUUUGAAGUUUUCUUCAUUAUAUACUUUAUAAUAUUCAUUUAGAAGGUUUCUUAGGUUUACAGUAAGACGAUCAUAAGAAUACACACAAUCUCUCUCCCUCUAGAAUGUCAAAGAUGGGUUUUUAUUACCAAUUUCAUGUUGCAUACUCAUAACAUAUUUAUUCUUUUUGCUCUCUGCCUUGGAAGCAUAAGGCGCUUUCUCCUAUGUUACACAUUCAAACAACAAAAAAAUCUGUAGUUUUCUUCUUCCUUCCUAUUAUUUGAAGUAUGAAGAAAUCGAAAUCAAAUACAAGUGAGAGAAGUUCUGAAGAUAUUAGAUUCAUAAAACGGAAAAAGAAACCUAUGAUAGGUGCUCCUAACCGGGGCCAGCUUAACAUAACCAGAGGCCCCAAGGCAGAAAUUUUUUUUGGGUCCCCUAACUAGUCGGUUUUAAAAAUAUUAUGUUCCUUUGACUUUUCAACUCAGGCAUAGCAUCAUUUAAGAAUUUGUAUUUGAUUUUCUAGUUAAAAAAAUCUGUAAUAUUAUGUUUUUAUACUAUCCAAAUCUAAACAAAACAUGCUAAAAAAAAAGAAUGAAAGCCCUUAACAUAACAUGAUUUGAAGCAGGCAUGGGAUGGUCGCAUUAACCGCCAUCCCUCAUAAGACGGCCCAGCUCAUCGCUUUAGCGUUCGAUUUUGCCUCUGGCCAUGUCGAGAAGAGACGGCGGCGGCAAAAGUCAGAGGUAAAAAAACUGAAGAUUAUAGUUUUUUCGUUUGUUUUUUAUUGCUAUUAAUAUAUUGAAGGGUAUUAUUGUCUUUUGACCUGUUAAUAAAAGUUAUAUUUCUGAUAUUUAGUUUAAGAUACUAUUUUGGAAUGAAAAUUGAAAAAAGGUAUUGACUAGAAUUGCCCUUUUAAAUAAAAAUUACUGUAUUAUAUUAUAGAUAUUGCCUUUUUGAUAAUAAGAUAAUUUGGAAAUAAAUAUAAACAAAAAGUUAAUAAAAUAUAUUAAUAAUGAUAUUUUAAUAAUAAAAUUAACUCAAAUUGUAGUUAUCUAUAAGAAUCAAUACGAAAGUGACACAUAAGAUACUGACUUAUCAUAUAAUAUUAUACAGAUUUUUGAAAAUAAAGUUAGUCAAAACAAAUUUAGUUGCAGAUCUUUUCCAUUGACUACUACACGAAAGACAUACCAAUAAUUUGAAAUAUAUAUAUAUAUAUAUAUAUGUUUAUAUGUAUUGUUUUGAUCAUCAUAUAACAAAGGCAAACUUUUUGUGAAAAGAAUUAAUCAUCACAAUGUCGUCUUCCAGUUGCGCUAUCUUUUGCAUCAUCUUCGUUUUGCUUUUUGGUUGUCUUGCAAGUAGAAACAUGGAGGGCCUUGAGGAAAGCAAGAUAGAUUUACCAACGUGCUUUCCAUCAACUUGUCUACCAGGAGACUUUAAAUGUUAUUGCUGCAAUCUUGUAAAGGAGAUCAGAUUCUGUACACUUACCUACGAUACGUGUGCGGAGGACUGUCAGCCCAAAGCAUAAUUAAUCAAGCAACCUCCUUCAAAGAUUCAAGAAUUAUGAAGAGCAUUAAAUACAUGUGUUCUUUGUAAAAUGUGUUCUUUAAAAAAAAAAAUGUGUUCUUUGUGAGUCUGUAUGAUUAAUAAAAAUAUAAGUGACUCCAAUACUUAUGCCUA